Molecule: long non-coding RNA, 645 nt
Organism: Stomoxys calcitrans (stable fly)
Lineage: Eukaryota; Metazoa; Arthropoda; Insecta; Diptera; Muscidae
Exons: 2
Source: RefSeq, a predicted model, not a curated record
UCUAUCACCUCCUCUUUAAAACUCCAAAAAAAUACAAACUUUUCUCUAUUCUAUUCGAUUUUAUGUAUCCGUCAUUUUGUUGUUGUCGUCAUCAUUAAACAUGAAAACGGAGCCCCUUUACCAAAUCGGAUUCUAUCUAUUCUAAAUUCCAUCUAGACUUCGCUAAAUUCGGUGGAAAAAAUUUCUUUUGUGAAAUGAUGUAUGAAAAUGGGAAAUUGCCGCUUGCCAAAAAAAAAAAAAAAAACGAUAAAUGCGGAUACGCUUGUAUGGGGCCUGCACAUGCAAGACAGUCAUCGGGAUUCAUAUGGACCAUACCCUCAUUUUAUAUGCUUAAGAUGUUUAAUCUGGACAUCUAUCUGUAUGCAAUAUCGGACAUUAAGGCUGAAUUCCAGCAGUCUUAACGGAGGCAUUGAAAAGAUGUAGUCUUUUACAGCCCAUGAAUUUUGUGCCAAAAUUCAGCUUCCAUAAACAUACAACUAUUAAGCUGAAUCUUACACUCAUAGGGACAUAAUCCCUAAAAUUUUACUUCAAUAAGGCACGAAUUGUUAUUACCAUCUGAAUACCGCUGCCGAAGUUCAUUAAAUCGAUUCAACCAUGUAAUGAUAUUACCAAUGAAAUAAAUAAAUAUUCAAUUCAAAAAAUAUA